RNAcentral lists this unclassified non-coding RNA (303 nucleotides) under fungal sp. Its description in RNAcentral is "partial contains 5.8S ribosomal RNA, internal transcribed spacer 2, and large subunit ribosomal RNA". The stretch from base 1 to 105 matches the Rfam family "5.8S ribosomal RNA", at positions 50 to 154 of the family's 154-position model. Lineage: Eukaryota; Fungi. The record is from RNAcentral. RNAcentral also lists the same sequence under 1 other name.
GAAAUGCGAUACGUAGUGUGAAUUGCAGAAUUCAGUGAAUCAUCGAAUCUUUGAACGCACAUUGCGCCCUUUGGUAUUCCAAAGGGCAUGCCUGUUCGAGCGUCAUUUGUACCCUCAAGCUUUGCUUGGUGUUGGGCGUCUUGUCUCCAGUCCGCUGGAGACUCGCCUUAAAGUCAUUGGCAGCCGGCCUACUGGUUUCGGAGCGCAGCACAAGUCGCACUCUUUUCCAGCCAAGGUCAGCGUCCAACAAGCCUUUUUUCAACUUUUGACCUCGGAUCAGGUAGGGAUACCCGCUGAACUUAA